Molecule: non-coding RNA, 1095 nt
Organism: Phasianus colchicus (ring-necked pheasant)
Lineage: Eukaryota; Metazoa; Chordata; Aves; Galliformes; Phasianidae
Source: RefSeq, a predicted model, not a curated record
GCUGGAGUUUCAUAAGCAAGCCCAGGAUAUGGAUGGUGACGACUGAGGAUUCAAGCAAGCAUCACCAGAGCUACUGGACAACAAGUGUGUGAGACUUGCAAAUGCCUAGGCACUUCUGUCUUAUACCAAAACUGCUUGCCAGACUGAAACCAUAAAAUUAAAACUGGAAGGUUCAACAACAAAGCAAUCAUCAGUUCAUAAGGGUGGCUACCAACCAGGAAAUGUAUGACUUUUCGAAACGUCACGCAUGGAGUGAUAGCACAGACUUUGUUUCCCCCAGAUCUCCUAUAUGGUCUCCAACUCAACACACAAACACCAGGAAACAAGACCUGAUGAUCUUCUGCUUCUCUUCUGCUUUCCUGGUUGAAGUAGCAAUUACACAUCCCUUCCCAAGCAACCUUUUUGCUGUCUUUCAUCCUCGUGGCUCCCUUGUUUUGGCACCUCUGCAGAUUCAUAGUGUGGCACAGAACUUCCCUUUCCUGGGAAGAGCUGUAAGGAUGCCAUGCAGGAUGGCAGAGCGGACUGCUGGCUGCCUGCUCGCAGCACAGGAGGUUCAGCUGCUCCCCGUCGUACCUCAACGCGGCCAGCAGCCUGUGCCUGCAGUGGGGACGUGGGGCAGACAUCACCCAUCUGUAUUCAAACACCAUGGAGGUACCACGCAGGUAAGAAUAAGGCCAGAAAGCUUAUAUGCAACACUCCUGCUCCACAGAAGCGUUGUCUGCUCAGCUAGCCAACAGCUCUUACCUGGCAUAGGGGAGAGGUGACCGGACCACGAGGAAAGCCAGGAGCAGCUUUCCCUUCACACAGCCGCUGCCCUAUAUGAAGCGGGCUCUCAGGACGUCUCAGAUAGGACAACACCUCCUUGAGGCUCCUCUGCGCUGCCCUCGGGCUACGGGCAUUCGGGAACAACUCGGACACGAUCGCCCCCGUGCCGGCAGCCGCCCGCGGGAGAAAAAAAGUGAGCCCGGCGUCGAGGGAAAGAAGCACCGCCACCGAGGUGCAGCGAGACGGAGCGGCCGCCGGGAUUGGCUGGCUGGGCGGGAGGCGCGUGCGGGAGGCGCGUGCGGGAGGCGCGUGCGGGAGGCGCGUGCGGGA